GACGAACGCUGGCGGCGUGCUUAACACACGCAAGUCGAACGGUAAGGCCCUUCGGGGUACACGAGUGGCGAACGGGUGAGAAACACGUGGGUGAUCUGCCCUGCACUUCGGGAUAAGCGUAGGAAACUGGGUCUAAUAACGGAUAGGACCACUGCCUGCAUGGGAGGGGGUGGAAAGCUUUUGCGGUGUGGGAUGGGCCCGCGGCCUAUCAGCUUGUUGGUGGGGUGAUGGCUUACCAAGGCGACGACGGGUAGCCGGCCUGAGAGGGUGACCGGCGACCCGGGGACUGAGAUACGGCGCAGAGGCGUACGGGGGGCAGCGGGGGGAAAGAUGGCACAGUGGGCGCAAGUGUGUUGCGGAGACGCCGGGUGAGGGAUGACGGCCUUCGGGUUGUAAACCUGUUUCAGCACCGACGAAGCGUGAGUGACGGUAGGUGCAGAAGAAGGACCGGCCAACUACGUGCCAGCAGCCGCCGUAA
This 478-nucleotide ribosomal RNA is filed under the name uncultured bacterium. RNAcentral describes it as "partial 16S ribosomal RNA". It matches the Rfam family "Bacterial small subunit ribosomal RNA", at positions 28 to 523 of the family's 1533-position model. The record is from RNAcentral.